Molecule: ribosomal RNA, 858 nt
Filed under: Polyporaceae sp.
Lineage: Eukaryota; Fungi; Basidiomycota; Agaricomycetes; Polyporales; Polyporaceae
Description: partial large subunit ribosomal RNA
Rfam family: Eukaryotic large subunit ribosomal RNA
Source: RNAcentral
CCCUAGUAACUGCGAGUGAAGCGGGAAGAGCUCAAAUUUUAAAUCUGGCGAUCUAUGGUCGUCCGAGUUGUAGUCUGGAGAAGUGUUUUCUGCGCUGGACCGUGUAUAAGUCUCUUGGAACAGAGCGUCAUAGAGGGUGAGAAUCCCGUCUUUGACACGGACUACCAGUGCUUUGUGAUGCACUUUCAAAGAGUCGAGUUGUUUGGGAAUGCAGCUCAAAAUGGGUGGUGAAUUCCAUCUAAAGCUAAAUAUUGGCGAGAGACCGAUAGCGAACAAGUACCGUGAGGGAAAGAUGAAAAGCACUUUGGAAAGAGAGUUAAACAGUACGUGAAAUUGCUGAAAGGGAAACGCUUGAAGUCAGUCACGUUGUCCGGGACUCAGCCUUGCUUUUGCUUGGUGCAUUUUCCGGAUGACGGGUCAGCAUCGAUUUUGACCGUCGGAAAAGGGCUGGAGUAAUGUGGCACCUUUAUGGUGUGUUAUAGACUCUAGUCGUAUACGGCGGUUGAGAUCGAGGAACGCAGCGCGCCGCAAGGCAGGGGUUCGCCCACUUUCGCGCUUAGGAUGCUGGCAUAAUGGCUUUAAACGACCCGUCUUGAAACACGGACCAAGGAGUCUAACAUACCUGCGAGUGUUUGGGUGGAAAACCCGAGCGCGCAAUGAAAGUGAAAGUUGAGACCUCUGUCAUGGAGGGCAUCGACGCCCGGACCUGACGUUCUCUGAUGGAUCCGCGGUAGAGCAUGUAUGUUGGGACCCGAAAGAUGGUGAACUAUGCCUGAAUAGGGUGAAGCCAGAGGAAACUCUGGUGGAGGCUCGUAGCGAUUCUGACGUGCAAAUCGAUCGUCAAAUUUGGGUAUAGGG